RNAcentral lists this long non-coding RNA (209 nucleotides) under Solanum tuberosum (potato). RNAcentral's name for it is "long non-coding RNA (STUB_LNC008048)". Lineage: Eukaryota; Viridiplantae; Streptophyta; Magnoliopsida; Solanales; Solanaceae. The record is from RNAcentral.
CAGGUUCUCAGCAUCCAGAUCACGCUUAGAUCGAUUCCCGAUCUUCAGUUCAGCAACAUCAGUGGUGAGUCCUCAUUCUUCGAGGACUAGUGACAUGUUUAUCUUUAUCGCUUUUAGUCUUUAGUUUCAGUUUUGCUAGAUCUAGUUGGGGCAUGUCCCAACAUUUCUAGUCAGUUUAGAGGCUUAUUUCAGACAUAGUUAGAUUCAGC